RNAcentral lists this long non-coding RNA (460 nucleotides) under Homo sapiens (human). RNAcentral describes it as "HSALNT0381522". The record is from RNAcentral. Lineage: Eukaryota; Metazoa; Chordata; Mammalia; Primates; Hominidae.
UGACAGAGUAAGAGUCUGUCUCCAAAAAGAAAAAAAGAAAAAAAGAAGUUAACAAUAUUUACCAUGUGUAAAGUUUGUAAUUUACGAUGUGUAAAACAAGCCAAAAGUUGCCAAUUAUGAAAGCAGUCCAAAGCUAAUGUGAGAUUUCAUUUUUUUUGAAUACUAUGUAUCUAUCAGGUUGUUACUCCAGUUUCAUCACUGUUUGACAAUCUUGUCCUAAUGUCUUUUAAGAUUACAAGCUGAAACAUUAAAUGUCCAGUGUGAUUGUAUUGUAACAGCUGUUGGAAACAGUAUGGGACAGCAAAGUUAGACCAUUUUUACAUACCCCAGUGCUGCCUCUUGUUGCCUGUGCGUCAUCGUCAUUGGGCAAGUCAUAAUAAGAUAUAGUGGCAGGACAAGAUUGGUCACGAAAUCCUGGCUUCAGUUCUGACAGCACCAUUUUCAAGUUUUAGGCAAGGUA